Molecule: long non-coding RNA, 1359 nt
Filed under: Piliocolobus tephrosceles (Ugandan red Colobus)
Lineage: Eukaryota; Metazoa; Chordata; Mammalia; Primates; Cercopithecidae
Description: lncRNA (ENSPTEG00000011175.1)
Source: RNAcentral
AAAAAAAAAAACAUGAUUUUUGUUAAUCCAUAACUUUACAUAUAUAAACAUUAUUGUAGUUAUAUUCGUAUUUGUUUAUUUUUUUUAUAAAAUUUUAUAUAAAGUAUAUAUGUACGCAUUUUGAUAAUUGUAAGUCGACGUCUUGUUUUAUAUAAGUACAUACAUACAUACAUAUAUAUAUAUAUAUGUAUAUAUGUAUGUAUGUAUGUAAGCGCUUAUAUUUUGGACUAACUAUAAAAUGGAAAAGUUGAAUGAAGAAGAACAUGCACACGUUAUGGAUGGGAAGGAAGUCAUUGCUAAUUCAAAUGUAAUGACAACUGAUCUUAAUGGAGUGACGGUUGACCUUAACGGGGAGACGGUUGACCUUAACGGGGAGACGGUUGACCUUAACGGGGAGACGGUUGACCCCAACGGAGUGAUGGCUGGACCGAAUAGGAAGACGGUCAACCAUGAAACACUAAAUGGACUAAAACAGGGUAACAUUGAAGAGACAAAAACAUCAUUCAAUAUUUUUUCUUACUUAAAUAUAAUAUAUAAAAGAUACGGGUUAAUUGCUGAUGAAACAUCUCGAUUUUUAUUAUAUACUAAUAAAAAAAGAAAUAAGUUAAAAAAUAAACUUUUAUAUAAAGUAAAAAAAAUUAGUAAUAAAUAUAUUUCAAAAAUAUAUGAACCUGAAGUAGUUAACGAAAAAUAUAUAGAACUAUUAUUAUUAGAUGUAGAAGUAUGUAUGUGUAGGUACCUACAAAUUAAAACGGAAGUAAACAAUUUAAAAAUACCUUAUAGAUCAAAAUAUUGUUAUUUAAGAAGAUUAAAAAGGGCUUUAAAAAGAUUACAAUUUUUGAAUAAAGAAACAAAUAAUAAGGUUGAUAAAUUAACAGAGUUACAAAUUAAGUGUUAUAAUGCAUAUAUAGAAAUAUCUUAUUUGUUAGAAAAUAAAAAAUAUGAAGAAUGUUUAUUAAAAAUUAAUGAAUUUAUAAUGUUAAUGAAAUUAAUAAAAAGAAUUACGUUAAGUGAUAUCAUCGACAAUGAAAAAAAAGAAAGUGUAAAAAUAAAAGAAAAUGUAAAAACACAGUCAGACAAUCAGAAAAAAAGAACUAGCGAUAUUGUUAUUAAAAGCGAUAUUCAUAAUAAUAAUAAUAUUAAUAACAAUAAUAUUAAUAACAAUAAUAAUAAUAAUAAUAGUCAGUUUAACAACAACAAUAUCAGGAGUGAGAAUGGUCUUACGGACUCUUACGACACAAACAAUACGAGUACUUUUAAAACCAGUACCAAUAAUAAUGACAUCUUUAAAAACAUUAACAACAACAUAGAAAACAAUUUAAUGAAUAAAAGCAACAUUAUUAUUGAAGAAGAAAAAAG